RNAcentral lists this ribosomal RNA (253 nucleotides) under uncultured bacterium. RNAcentral's name for it is "partial 16S ribosomal RNA". It matches the Rfam family "Bacterial small subunit ribosomal RNA", at positions 524 to 776 of the family's 1533-position model. The record is from RNAcentral.
UACGAAGGGGGCUAGCGUUGUUCGGAAUUACUGGGCGUAAAGUGCACGUAGGCGGAUAUUUAAGUCAGGGGUGAAAUCCCAGAGCUCAACUCUGGAACUGCCUUUGAUACUGGGUAUCUUGAGUAUGGAAGAGGUAAGUGGAAUUGCGAGUGUAGAGGUGAAAUUCGUAGAUAUUCGCAGGAACACCAGUGGCGAAGGCGGCUUACUGGUCCAUUACUGACGCUGAGGUGCGAAAGCGUGGGGAGCAAACAGG